CAGGAUGAAUGCUGGCGGCGUGCCUAAUACAUGCAAGUCGAGCGGCAGCGAGGGUCUCAUCCUAUUCUGGAAGUUUCGAGAAUAGAAUGAGAUCUGUCGGCGAGCGGCGGACGGCUGAGUAACGCAUGGGAACGCACCCCAAACUGAGGGAUAACUAGUCGAAAGAUUAGCUAAUACCGCAUGUGAUCUUCGGAUUAAAGCUUUCGGGCGGUUUGGGAGCGGCCUGUGUACGAUUAGAUAGUUGGUGAGGUAAUAGCUCACCAAGUCGACGAUCGUUAGAUGGUUUGAGAGGAUGAUCAUCCAGACUGGGACUGAGACACGGCCCAGACUCCUACGGGAGGCAGCAGUAGGGAAUCUUUCACAAUGGGCGAAAGCCUGAUGGAGCCAACGCCGCGUGCAGGAUGAAGGCCUUCGGGUUGUAAACUGCUUUUAUAAGCGAGGAAUAUGACGGUAACUUAUGAAUAAGGAUCGGCUAACUACGUGCCAGCAGCAGC
Molecule: ribosomal RNA, 494 nt
Filed under: uncultured bacterium
Lineage: Bacteria
Description: bacterial SSU rRNA
Rfam family: Bacterial small subunit ribosomal RNA
Source: RNAcentral